Melanotaenia boesemani (Boeseman's rainbowfish) is the source of this 332-nucleotide long non-coding RNA. RefSeq lists it as uncharacterized. Lineage: Eukaryota; Metazoa; Chordata; Actinopteri; Atheriniformes; Melanotaeniidae. The transcript has 3 exons. The record is from RefSeq and is a predicted model, not a curated record.
CCGAGCAGCGUCCUGGUUUUAAAACCAGACCGGAGGCGCAUCACCCCCCUGCGAACAUGGAGCGUGGUAGGGCUUAAUUUUACCCCUCUCGUCGACUCGUUUUUUUCUGCAGAAAUACUGAAUUCUGUUUAAAAUCCUGCUACCGCAGUAUUGACAUACCGUGGAUCAUCAACGGUGGCAGAAAUUCAUCCGCAACCGCCCUCACAACUGGGUGAAAACUUUCUCGUUAGAGUCACUGCGGAAGAAUUUGAGGACCUGCAUUUCACUCAGAGAGACUUUGAUCUGUUGGAUGCGGCGGAGAGACUCCCGAAGCCUGAAGCAUCCUCGGUUCC